RNAcentral lists this long non-coding RNA (999 nucleotides) under Chrysemys picta bellii (western painted turtle). RNAcentral describes it as "lncRNA (ENSCPBG00000027179.1)". Lineage: Eukaryota; Metazoa; Chordata; Testudines; Emydidae. The record is from RNAcentral.
AGGGGGGGGGGAAAUCAAACUACAAUGCACUCUAUUUAUUGAGAAUCCCAAAUAAAUAUCUAUAGCAAAACUUGCUCCCGUGCAGAAGCGUGGUGAAAGGAGAAAGAAUAUUAGGUAAUUGGAAAAGGACCCAGCUAGCUGAUGGACUAAUCUUUUCCUAAAGAGGAAAUUCUUGACAUGAGACUUCUGCCUGGGUCCGUGAAAUAACGUGCGGAUCAAAAUCUGGAAAAAAAAAAUUCAGCAACCAAGACGACCAAAAAGACAGAGAGGACACACUGGGUAGAGAAGUCUGAAUCCCAAACCUCUUGGUCUCCGAUCAUCAAGACACAGCGGACCGCAGCCCGACUUGCGUAGGCCAACUCCCAACCCUACGGGAGCUUGCUCCGAGCUGGCCCCAGACACGUGCGUGGAGGAAGAGACAGACACGCGAAGGCACGGGGGGCAGAGGCAUCCCCCAAAGGUGUAACUUGGGACCCAGCGCGUGGAGGGUUGGGUCUGGGCCUGGGCCCGCUGUAAAGAAACACAACGGGGGGAGUGGCAGGAGGCUAUUUGCCUGGUUUAGGGGUCCCCCCCGGCCCAAGUUAAUUGCAUUGUUUUGUUUAAUGCCACAUUCCCUCCGGGAGAGCAGGUGUCCCCCCUCCCGCCUCGCGGAAGUCCCCAGCGGCUUGGCGUUUGGCAGGUCGUUGUCUCUGGGGCUGUUCCCCCAGCAGGAGUCUCCGACGCUGGGGGAAGACCGAGGAGACGGGCCCUGUGCGAUGCCAUUGCUCACCUGUCUACACUGUCAGCAGCACCAAGACCAGCCCGCCUCGCCUCAACCCCCCGCCCCCCAUCCCCGUGCAUACGGAGCUUGGUGGAUUCCUCCAGCACUGCGCCCUCAGUCGCUGUGAAUUGCCGCGCAUAUCAACUGCGCUCCGCGCAAUCUGUGCUCAAGGAGGGGCGCCUGGCUAAGUAGGGGGCUGGGGAGAGGGACAGAGACCACCAAGACAAACUGACACCCGU